Molecule: transfer RNA, 72 nt
Organism: Cavia porcellus (domestic guinea pig)
Lineage: Eukaryota; Metazoa; Chordata; Mammalia; Rodentia; Caviidae
Rfam family: tRNA
About the family: Transfer RNA (tRNA) molecules are approximately 80 nucleotides in length.
Source: Rfam
AGGGAUACAGCUCAGUGGCACAGCACCUGCCUGGUAAGCACAAGGUCCUGAGUUUGAUUCCCAGUAUCACAC